UUUCCUUUAAUGCCAUUAAGGACAGAGUUAUACUCCCAUUAACUGAGUGUGAUGAGAAAUCAGUAGGCAAAGGAUUCCCUCCACAUUGGCAGGAGGCAGACACUGAAUACACCAGCAAAGAUAUCAAAGAUAGGGCAAAGAAGAACAUAAUUUUUGCUCGAAUUUUUGGAGCAUCUAUUAAUGUUGGACUGUCAGUAUGGGUGAGGGUCUAUAAAUAGGAUUGGAUGAAUGGGUGGAGCAUCUAUCUAGUCCAUAGAUUUAAUACACAGACAGAAUUAAUCUGUAUUAUAUCUAUGAUCUAGUCUCGCUAGCAUGGAUAUUACUCUAUUAUCUAUGUCGCUAGCCAGACCAUUUCCCAGCCACCCAAAUGACUGUAGGCGGGAAGGGCGAGACUAGCAAUUUGCAAGACACAGCAAAGAGAGUCACGAAGUUUAAAAUCCAGCCAGCUCAGCAUCCAUUAGAUCAGAGAUAGCUAGUACUGAUUACUAUUUAUCAGAUGCUCAUCUAAUAAUCUCGUGCUGGCUUAAUUAAAGAAAUGCUUUAUCAACGCAAGGAACAAUAUUUUUGUAACAGCAAAACUAUGUGAUCUUGAUCAUGUCUGUCUCAUGGUCAGAGAAAGGAUGCCAUUUAGCCAUUGGUAUAUAUAUUCACAAAGAAUACGUACAGAUAUGGGAUGCAGCUAACAUACAAAUGCAUACUCGGCAUACACUAACUGGACAUUCUGGAAAGUGGAAAAAUAUUUUUACGUGAGAAGGAUUGGAAACUGGAUCACAUGCGCCACUUUUCACUGUUGGAUCUGUGUUUCCUGCGAACAUAUGGCACCCUGUACAACUCUCGUUUUUGUGGGACUGUAACUCUUUGUCCAAGGUAUACCAGACUCUAUACAAAGACUCAUUAAGAUUGAUUUUUGAGGUCAGUAUGGUGCAUUCAUAUCUGCUGCUCGUGACAUUGAUGUAGAGCAAAGGGAAGAGAGAAUGAAGGAGCUGAUCAAGAACCUACCAGAGCUACACUAUUAUACUCUUGGCUAUCUGAUCAAGCAUCUCAACAGGAUAGAGGCUCACAGCACAGUUAAUAAAAUGGCUUUGCGUAAUCUGUGCUUAGUGUUUGGGCCUACUAUUGUGAGGAAGGCAAUCAGUGAGGAGAACAAUACACUUGUAGCUGAUAUGAAUUAUACGUACACUGUGGUGGAGUUCUUAAUGAAAAAGGUUGAUGAGUUGUUUACUCCUAUACCAACUGAUUUCAUUGAUGGCCAAUCAGUCACUUUAAGAGGAGGAGAUGGUGUGUAUUCUCAGUCUCAGGCAGACAAUAGGAAUAAUAUACUACUAAAGAGAGGUAGCACUUCCAGUUCUUACAUCAGCAUUUAUAGAUCUCUUGCUUAAUAAUAGAUCUAAUUAAAGAAAUACUAUGUCAAGGGACAAUAUUUUUGUAACAGCUAUGUGAUCUUGAUGAUGUUUAAAAUGCCAUCACGCCUGUCUUGUUGUCAAAGAAAGGAUACUAUUAAUUCCAGUUAACAUGAAGCAAGAUUCUUUAUACUAACCGGACACUCUGGAAAAGUUGGAUUCUCCUACCUCUCGUGUUCUUUGUCUUCUUGUGUUAACACAAGCUUAUAGUAUCAUACAGUUUUGGGUCACUGACGAAUUGUGUGUCAAGAUCCUAUCAAAUCCACUUGCUAUUUAUUUUCGGCAAAAGAUGUGGGAACAGAACAAUCCUAACAACAUGAUGGAGAAUGCAAUUAAGACAAAAUGCUAAGAAAAUUCAAAGCAUGUCCUAUUUGAACAAGGUGGUUAACUACUCAUAAUCAAUAAACAGUUUGUUCCAUGGACAUUAACUUAUUACUUAGAGAAAAGGAUGUGUUGAGAUUAUGCAGUAAUGCAAUGUGUCACCAUUUUGUUGAUGCACAAGCUUAGAAGAUACACUGAGGUCAUCAAUGAGUCUUGCAUUCAAGUGAAGGCAAUUAUACAUUUUCCCAUUUACAUUUCUUUCCAUGU
Long non-coding RNA from Amphimedon queenslandica, 1988 nucleotides. RefSeq lists it as uncharacterized. The record is from RefSeq and is a predicted model, not a curated record. NCBI's taxonomy places the organism in Eukaryota, Metazoa, Porifera, Demospongiae, Haplosclerida, Niphatidae. The transcript has 14 exons.